CGAGCGCAACCCUCGCUGUGUGUUACAAGUGUCACACGGAACUGCCGGUCGAUAAACCGGAGGAAGGUGGGGAUGACGUCAAGUCAGCAUGGCCUUUAUAUCCUGGGCUACACACACGCUACAAUGGGAAGGGACAAUAGGUUGCGAAGCCGCGAGGCGGAGCCAAUCCAGCAAAACUUCCCUCAGUUCAGAUUGCAGGCUGCAACCCGCCUGCAUGAAGUUGGAGUUGCUAGUAAACGCAGGUCAGCCAUACUGCGUUGAAUACGUUCCCGGGGCUU
Molecule: ribosomal RNA, 278 nt
Filed under: uncultured Anaerolineaceae bacterium
Lineage: Bacteria; Bacillati; Chloroflexota; Anaerolineae; Anaerolineales; Anaerolineaceae
Description: partial 16S ribosomal RNA
Rfam family: Bacterial small subunit ribosomal RNA
Source: RNAcentral